Molecule: long non-coding RNA, 672 nt
Filed under: Phoenix dactylifera (date palm)
Lineage: Eukaryota; Viridiplantae; Streptophyta; Magnoliopsida; Arecales; Arecaceae
Description: long non-coding RNA (PDAC_LNC004572)
Source: RNAcentral
UUAUUUGGGGAGAGGGGAGAUUCAUGAUUUUUUGAGUAGCCUGUAAAAGAGAGAAAAAGGAAACGGGAAGAAAGAAAAAAAAAAAGAAGGGAAGAAAGAAUUUUUGAAAUUCUUUUCUUCCAGAGGUUUAUUUGCAAAAGAGUUUUUGCACUAUACAGACAUCAUCCUACCUUCCUGCAUUUCUUGGCGUGCGUGUGAAGUAGAGCGUCCGUACAUCCGGGCCUCGCAUAGCACCAGAUCCACCAGUACCAGAUCCGGCACCAGAUCCAGUUCUAGAUCCAGUUCCCGAUCCAGUACCAGAUCUAGCAUCCGAUCCAGUAUCUGAUCCAGCACUUGGCCCUGUACCAGAUUCUGUUCCAGAGUACCUCGACCAUCUUCCACUGCGGGAUCGAGGUAUGGUAAAUAUAAUAUAGUUAUGUUAUUUAUUUAUACCUGUUAUAAAUAAAUAGAUAAAAUUUUAAAACUGAUUUUCUGACCUGGCAUCCAUUUUUAUCGGAUUUUGCGGGAUAUUUUUCCUUCAAAACCCACCUCCCGAUAGCUGUCUAGCAUUUAUAUUAUCAGUAUGGUGUCUUAUUCUGCAUAUGCAUGUGAUAGAGGGGAGUUAUUGCUGGUUCACCUGGGGCGUAAAACCCACCUUCCGAUAGCUGUCUAGCAUUUAUAUUAUCGGUAUGG